GACGUAGGGCGCAAGCGUUGUCCGGAUUUAUUGGGCGUAAAGAGCUCGUAGGCGGCUUGUUGCGUCGUCCGUGAGAACCCGUGGCUCAACUGCGGGCUUGCGGUCGAUACGGGCAGGCUGGAGUUCGGUAGGGGAGACUGGAAUUCCUGGUGUAGCGGUGAAAUGCGCAGAUAUCAGGAGGAACACCGGUGGCGAAGGCGGGUCUCUGGGCCGAUACUGACGCUGAGGAGCGAAAGCGUGGGGAGCGAACAGG
Molecule: ribosomal RNA, 253 nt
Filed under: uncultured bacterium
Lineage: Bacteria
Description: partial 16S ribosomal RNA
Rfam family: Bacterial small subunit ribosomal RNA
Source: RNAcentral